Molecule: ribosomal RNA, 460 nt
Filed under: uncultured bacterium
Lineage: Bacteria
Description: partial 16S ribosomal RNA
Rfam family: Bacterial small subunit ribosomal RNA
Source: RNAcentral
CCUACGGGAGGCAGCAGUGAGGAAUAUUGGUCAAUGGACGCAAGUCUGAACCAGCCAUGCAGCGUGCGGGAAGACGGCUCUAUGAGUUGUAAACUGCUUUUGUACGAGGGUAAACGCAGAUACGCGUAUCUGUCUGCAAGUAUCGUACGAAUAAGGAUCGGCUAACUCCGUGCCAGCAGCCGCGGUAAUACGGAGGAUUCAAGCGUUAUCCGGAUUUAUUGGGUUUAAAGGGUGCGUAGGCGGGCGGAUAAGUUAGCGGUGAAAUCCCGAGGCUCAACUUCGGAAUUGCAUCUGAUACUGGUCGGCUAGAGAGUAGUAGCGGUAGGCGGAAUGUGUGGUGUAGCGGUGAAAUGCUUAGAGAUCAUAAAGAACACCGAUUGCGAAGGCAGCUUACCAAGCUACUUCUGACGUUGAGGCACGAAAGCGUGGGGAGCAAACAGGAUUAGAUACCCCUGUAGUC